AACCCUGAGGCGUGAUGACGAUGCACUACGGUGCAGAAGUAGUUGAUGCCCUGCUUCCAGGAAAAGCCUCUAAGCAUCAGGUAACAUCAAAUCGUACCCCAAACCGACACAGGUGGUCAGGUAGAGAAUACCAAGGCGCUUGAGAGAACUCGGGUGAAGGAACUAGGCAAAAUGGUGCCGUAACUUCGGGAGAAGGCACGCUGGCGCGUAGGUGAAGAGACUUGCUCUCGGAGCUGAAGCCAGUCGCAGAUACCAGCUGGCUGCAACUGUUUAAUAAAAACACAGCACUGUGCAAACACGAAAGUGGACGUAUACGGUGUGACGCCUGCCCGGUGCUGGAAGGUUAAUUGAUGGGGUCAGCCGCAAGGCGAAGCUCUUGAUCGAAGCCCCAGUAAACGGCGGCCGUAACUAUAACGGUCCUAAGGUAGCGAAAUUCCUUGUCGGGUAAGUUCCGACCUGCACGAAUGGCGUAAUGAUGGCCAGGCUGUCUCCACCCGAGACUCAGUGAAAUUGAACUCGCUGUGAAGAUGCAGUGUACCCGCGGCAAGACGGAAAGACCCCGUGAACCUUUACUAUAGCUUGACACUGAACAUUGAGCCUUGAUGUGUAGGAUAGGUGGGAGGCUUUGAAGUGUGGACGCCAGUCUGCAUGGAGCCAACCUUGAAAUACCACCCUUUAAUGUUUGAUGUUCUAACUCGGCCCCGUAAUCCGGGGUGAGGACAGUGUCUGGUGGGUAGUUUGACUGGGGCGGUCUCCUCCCAAAGAGUAACGGAGGAGCACGAAGGUUAGCUAAUCACGGUCGGACAUCGUGAGGUUAGUGCAAAGGCAUAAGCUAGCUUGACUGCGAGAGUGACGGCUCGAGCAGGUACGAAAGUAGGUCUUAGUGAUCCGGUGGUUCUGAAUGGAAGGGCCAUCGCUCAACGGAUAAAAGGUACUCCGGGGAUAACAGGCUGAUACCGCCCAAGAGUUCAUAUCGACGGCGGUGUUUGGCACCUCGAUGUCGGCUCAUCACAUCCUGGGGCUGAAGUAGGUCCCAAGGGUAUGGCUGUUCGCCAUUUAAAGUGGUACGCGAGCUGGGUUUAGAACGUCGUGAGACAGUUCGGUCCCUAUCUGCCGUGGGCGUUGGAAGAUUGAGAGGGGUUGCUCCUAGUACGAGAGGACCGGAGUGAACGCACCACUGGUGUUCGGGUUGUCAUGCCAAUGGCACUGCCCGGUAGCUAAGUGCGGAAAAGAUAAGCGCUGAAAGCAUCUAAGCGCGAAACUUGCCUCGAGAUGAGUCUUCCCUGGGCCUUUAAGGCCCCUGAAGGAACGUUUAAGACUAAGACGUUGAUAGGCUGGGUGUGUAAGUGCAGCGAUGCAUUGAGCUAACCAGUACUAAUGAUCCGUGAGGCUUAACCUU
This 1399-nucleotide ribosomal RNA is filed under the name Serratia fonticola LMG 7882. RNAcentral's name for it is "bacterial LSU rRNA". It matches the Rfam family "Bacterial large subunit ribosomal RNA", at positions 1552 to 2925 of the family's 2925-position model. The record is from RNAcentral. Lineage: Bacteria; Pseudomonadati; Pseudomonadota; Gammaproteobacteria; Enterobacterales; Yersiniaceae.